UACGUAGGGUGCAAGCGUUGUCCGGAAUUAUUGGGCGUAAAGAGCUCGUAGGCGGUCUGUCGCGUCGGAUGUGAAAAUCCAGGGCUCAACCCUGGACCUGCAUUCGAUACGGGCAGACUAGAGUUCGGCAGGGGAGACUGGAAUUCCUGGUGUAGCGGUGAAAUGCGCAGAUAUCAGGAGGAACACCCAUGGCGAAGGCAGCUCUCUGGCCUCACCCUGACGCUGAGGCGCGAAAGCGUGGGGAGCGAACGGG
This 253-nucleotide ribosomal RNA is filed under the name uncultured bacterium. RNAcentral describes it as "partial 16S ribosomal RNA". It matches the Rfam family "Bacterial small subunit ribosomal RNA", at positions 524 to 776 of the family's 1533-position model. The record is from RNAcentral.